This 377-nucleotide long non-coding RNA is filed under the name Prunus dulcis (almond). Its description in RNAcentral is "sRNA ncRNA". The record is from RNAcentral. Lineage: Eukaryota; Viridiplantae; Streptophyta; Magnoliopsida; Rosales; Rosaceae.
CUAGAAGGCAAAGUAAGGGGGUCCCCCCAUCUUUUGUUUUUGUUUCUAUAAUCCUUGGGGUCCUACACUUACGAUUCUUCAAUUUAUUAAGAAAAGAAUUUGAGCCCCAGAAACAUUCUUCACGCAGAACUUGAAAUGUGGAUGUGUGAAUUUACAUUUGCAAUGGAUCCUUUGGAUUGUGACUUGUAGCCCUACUCAUCACAUGCUGUGUUUUCCUUGUCAAGACGGUCCAAAUGCAUAAUCAAUCCAUGGAUGAAAUGUGCCCACUUGGCUCUUCCAAAUGUUUGAAAAUUUGACUGAAAUGUUGCUUCAUUAGCCUACUUCUCUGACCACAUUCUCCACAUGGCAGAGAUAAGAGAAGUCGGCUAACCUCCCCG